RNAcentral lists this ribosomal RNA (606 nucleotides) under uncultured Alphaproteobacteria bacterium. RNAcentral describes it as "bacterial SSU rRNA". It matches the Rfam family "Bacterial small subunit ribosomal RNA", at positions 36 to 688 of the family's 1533-position model. The record is from RNAcentral. Lineage: Bacteria; Pseudomonadati; Pseudomonadota; Alphaproteobacteria.
CUGGCGGCAGGCCUAAUACAUGCAAGUCGAGCGCGCCCUUCGGGGUGAGCGGCGGACGGGUGAGUAACGCGUGGGAAUAUGCCCUUCUCUAAGGAAUAGCCUCUGGAAACGGAGAGUAAUACCUUAUACGCCCUUUGGGGGAAAGAUUUAUCGGAGAAGGAUUAGCCCGCGUUAGAUUAGGUAGUUGGUGGGGUAAUGGCCUACCAAGCCUACGAUCUAUAGCUGGUUUGAGAGGAUGAUCAGCCACACUGGGACUGAGACACGGCCCAGACUCCUACGGGAGGCAGCAGUAGGGAAUCUUAGACAAUGGGGGCAACCCUGAUCUAGCCAUGCCGCGUGUGUGAUGAAGGCCCUAGGGUCGUAAAGCACUUUCGCCAGAGAUGAUAAUGACAGUAUCUGGUAAAGAAACCCCGGCUAACUCCGUGCCAGCAGCCGCGGUAAUACGGAGGGGGUUAGCGUUGUUCGGAAUUACUGGGCGUAAAGCGCACGUAGGCGGAUUAGUAAGUUAGAGGUGAAAUCCCAGGGCUCAACCCUGGAACUGCCUUUAAUACUGCUAGUCUUGAGUUCGAGAGAGGUAAGUGGAAUUCCGAGUGUAGAGGUAAAAUU